This 495-nucleotide ribosomal RNA is filed under the name uncultured bacterium. Its description in RNAcentral is "partial 16S ribosomal RNA". It matches the Rfam family "Bacterial small subunit ribosomal RNA", at positions 28 to 507 of the family's 1533-position model. The record is from RNAcentral.
GACGAACGCUGGCGGCGUGCCUAAUACAUGCAAGUCGAACGCUGAAGGAGGAGCUUGCUCUUCUGGAUGAGUUGCGAACGGGUGAGUAACGCGUAGGUAACCUGCCUGGUAGCGGGGGAUAACUAUUGGAAACGAUAGCUAAUACCGCAUAAGAGUAGAUGUUGCAUGACAUUUACUUAAAAGGUGCAAUUGCAUCACUACCAGAUGGACCUGCGUUGUAUUAGCUAGUUGGUGGGGUAACGGCUUACCAAGGCGACGAUACAUAGCCGACCUGAGAGGGUGAUCGGCCACACUGGGACUGAGACACGGCCCAGACUCCUACGGGAGGCAGCAGUAGGGAAUCUUCGGCAAUGGACGGAAGUCUGACCGAGCAACGCCGCGUGAGUGAAGAAGGUUUUCGGAUCGUAAAGCUCGGUUGUAAGAGAAGAACGAGUGUGAGAGUGGAAAGUUCACACUGUGACGGUAGCUUACCAGAAAGGGACGGCUAACUACGUG